This 1010-nucleotide ribosomal RNA is filed under the name uncultured Trichococcus sp. RNAcentral's name for it is "bacterial SSU rRNA". It matches the Rfam family "Bacterial small subunit ribosomal RNA", at positions 8 to 996 of the family's 1533-position model. The record is from RNAcentral. Lineage: Bacteria; Bacillati; Bacillota; Bacilli; Lactobacillales; Carnobacteriaceae.
AGAGUUUGAUCCUGGCUCAGGACGAACGCUGGCGGCGUGCCUAAUACAUGCAAGUCGAACGGUCUUUUCUAUGGAAGCUUGCUUCCACUGAGAAGAUAGUGGCGAACGGGUGAGUAACACGUGGGUAACCUGCCCAUAAGAGGGGGAUAACAUCCGGAAACGGGUGCUAAUACCGCAUAGUUUUCUUGAUCGCAUGAUCGAGAAAGGAAGGACGGCCUUUGUGCUGUCGCUUAUGGAUGGACCCGCGGCGUAUUAGUUAGUUGGUGAGGUAAUGGCUCACCAAGACGAUGAUACGUAGCCGACCUGAGAGGGUGAUCGGCCACAUUGGGACUGAGACACGGCCCAAACUCCUACGGGAGGCAGCAGUAGGGAAUCUUCCGCAAUGGACGAAAGUCUGACGGAGCAACGCCGCGUGAGUGAAGAAGGUUUUCGGAUCGUAAAACUCUGUUGCCAGAGAAGAACAAGUCGGAGAGUAACUGCUCCGGCCUUGACGGUAUCUGACCAGAAAGCCACGGCUAACUACGUGCCAGCAGCCGCGGUAAUACGUAGGUGGCAAGCGUUGUCCGGAUUUAUUGGGCGUAAAGCGAGCGCAGGCGGUUCCUUAAGUCUGAUGUGAAAGCCCACGGCUCAACCGUGGAAGGUCAUUGGAAACUGGGGAACUUGAGUGCAGAAGAGGAGAGUGGAAUUCCAUGUGUAGCGGUGAAAUGCGUAGAUAUAUGGAGGAACACCAGUGGCGAACGCGACUCUCUGGUCUGUAACUGACGCUGAGGCUCGAAAGCGUGGGGAGCAAACAGGAUUAGAUACCCUGGUAGUCCACGCCGUAACGAUGAGUGCUAAGUGUUGGAGGGUUUCCACCCUUCAGUGCUGCAGCUAACGCAUUAAGCACUCCGCCUGGGAGUACGGCCGCAAGGCUGAAACUCAAGGAAUUGACGGGACCCGCACAGCGGUKGAGCAUGUGGUUUAAUUCGAAGCAACGCGAGAACCUUACCAGGUCUUGAMAUCUUUUGACA